GUGACAGAGCCUUUCACCUUUGGGGUCAGC
Molecule: non-coding RNA, 30 nt
Filed under: Homo sapiens (human)
Lineage: Eukaryota; Metazoa; Chordata; Mammalia; Primates; Hominidae
Also listed under: 1 other name
Source: RNAcentral